CUCCGUCGCCAAUGCUGUUACUGGAGAAUCUGUAAGAGAUGAGACAAGGAUGAGCUGGGUUUCUGGAGCAGCCUGGCAGGGGGGGCCUGGGAUCAGGGUCAGGGAAGCGCUCCAGGGCUGUGCUUUCUCUGUUGUGUUAAGGGUGCCCAGUGCAGAGCUCGUUCGGCUUGAGUCUGUGGCUGGUCGCCUCUGCAAGUGACUCCCUAUGGCCUGUAAGACAUCGAGGUAGCAAAGUACUUGACUCCCUAGUGGGCGGCAGGGCCAACUCUUUUGUGAUACUUUAUGUGAAGGUAGCCAGGAAGUGUUGGGAAGGCAGUAAAUUUAAGUCUGAGACAGUCCCAAUCCUAGGAAUCUGGAGUCCAAAGCCAGCUAUCUUGCACCCAUACCACCAUCCAUCCAUCCAUCCAUCUGUCCAUCCACCCAUCCAUCCAUCCAUCCGUCGUGCUCACAAAUAUUUAUGAUGGGCUGGGCAUUGUGCCAGUCACUGAGGAUACAAAUUUGGCCUUUCUGCAUUUCUCACAUGAGUUCCUUCAGAUUCCUGUUCUGUUUCAGGGUAUCUGCCAUCUGCUGGGCUCCUACAGGCCCGAUGGUAUUCUUCUGUAGGCUGUGGGAGAGGAGAAGCGUCUUCAGCAAAGCUGGCCACAGCCAUUCCCACUCCAGGGACAGUCUGGUUCAAGGCUUGUGAUCCAAACCUCUCGGUUUCACCAGCAUCAUGAGGCCCUGAACACAGGUGGAGAUGAGGUGAGCCCUGGAGCGGAAGUGCCCAGCCCAGGAAAGCCUCUGAGCCAGAUAAAGAUGAUUUCAGAACCCGGAGGGAGGCUUACAUGAAGAUGAAGAAUUCCUCUCUGGAUCCUAUGCUCCAAACUCAUCUCCCUAGUUCUAGCUACCCCAGAUCAUCACAUCAGCUCAGCUCGAAACCCAGAUGAGGUACCUGAGCCUCUGGAACUUUCUGGAAUGGGCAGAAACAAGCAGCGUGUAUCCUGAGCCACAUGCUUCAAAGGCACCUCUCCUUGAAAGCACCCCUGGCCGGUUGAGCAGAGAAGAGGAGGGGAAAGGAGCCCCAGACCCUGUGCAACAGCACCCAGCAGGCACCUGCGACCCAGCUGUACCCCACAGUGUCUUCCCAGAGGCAGGCCGGCUGCACCCUGGAACAGCGGAGUGUGGCAGUUCCCUCAGGCCCCGGAGGUGGGCCUCAGCAUGUGGGCGGCACUGAGAGCAAAGGGGUGAAGGGGAAGGGCAUGCCCAAAGUGGACGACAGGAGAAGCACGACAAUAGAGGAAAAGUACAGGACAUCCUCCAGUGACAGGGAGCAAGCCAUGGAGACAAGCAGUGCCUUCCGAGGCCCCAGCAGCUUGCCAGGUUCCAGGUGAGACGCAUGGGGCUUGCCCUUGAGAAGCCUGCUGCGGCUGCAGGCCGUCAAAGCACACUGUAGCCACGACUGUGAGGUGCACUGAAGGCGUCUGAAACCAGGCCGCCCACAGGAUGUUGGAAGCCGCAGGGGCCUGGUGGUAACCUUCUGCUAGUCUGGGCUGCCUUCCAAGGACCAAGGGCUCCCAGUAUACCCAGAGCUGCUCGUCUGAGUCCAGGGUCUCCACAAGGAGCCAGUGAAGCCAGGAGGCUGUCCCUUGAGGCCAUCUGAGCACCAACCCUCACAUCCGGCACAGGGACAGGCCAGUCUGGCUGAAGACUAGAAGCACCAGCUGAUUUCUGACCUUUCUCCAUGGGGCCCAGCACACAGGACAGAGAGGGCUUCACAAGUUCAUCCUGUUAAAAUGCAAAUUCUGACUCAGUAGGUCUGGGCAGGCCCAAGCCGUAUCUGUAACAAUCCCCAGGGUCACGCUGCUGGGCCCCAGGCCUCAUCAAGGGCUGGAGCUCAGUGCUUGGUAGGGGCUGUCUUAAUGUGGGGCUACAGAUUCACAAAUAUGGAUGAAUGGAUGAACACACAUCUCUUAUCUAUGAACCAAAGGGACAUGAGGAGCCAGCAGGCCUGGGUCACCCUUUGCAAUGAAGGACAGGCACAAAGGCCUUCUGCAGACACGGCUAUGGGGGCAGCGAGGGAGCUGUGGGUGA
Molecule: long non-coding RNA, 2070 nt
Organism: Mirounga angustirostris (Northern elephant seal)
Lineage: Eukaryota; Metazoa; Chordata; Mammalia; Carnivora; Phocidae
Exons: 8
Source: RefSeq, a predicted model, not a curated record